Cebus imitator (Panamanian white-faced capuchin) is the source of this 84-nucleotide long non-coding RNA. RefSeq lists it as uncharacterized. The transcript is spliced from 3 exons. The record is from RefSeq and is a predicted model, not a curated record. NCBI's taxonomy places the organism in Eukaryota, Metazoa, Chordata, Mammalia, Primates, Cebidae.
GCUCAACAAAUCACACUGCCACAUGUGUACUUAUGCAGCAGUCUUGCAUGUUCUUCACAUGUACUCCAAAACCUAAAAUGCAAU